GCCCUUAUGGCGCAGUGGUAGCGCGUGUCACUCGUAAUGACAAGGUCGAUAGUUCAAUCCUGUCUGGGGGCA
This is a non-coding RNA of Aspergillus carlsbadensis, 72 nucleotides long. The record is from the annotation of a GenBank genome assembly. Lineage: Eukaryota; Fungi; Ascomycota; Eurotiomycetes; Eurotiales; Aspergillaceae.